RNAcentral lists this ribosomal RNA (466 nucleotides) under uncultured bacterium. RNAcentral describes it as "partial 16S ribosomal RNA". It matches the Rfam family "Bacterial small subunit ribosomal RNA", at positions 28 to 507 of the family's 1533-position model. The record is from RNAcentral.
GACGAACGCUGGCGGCGUGCUUAACACAUGCAAGUCGAACGGUGAAGCAGAGCUUGCUCUGUGGAUCAGUGGCGAACGGGUGAGUAACACGUGAGUAACCUGCCCUUGACUCUGGGAUAAGCGUUGGAAACGACGUCUAAUACUGGAUACGACGACCGUAGGCAUCUUCUGGUUGUGGAAAGAAUUUUGGUCAAGGAUGGACUCGCGGCCUAUCAGCUUGUUGGUGAGGUAAUGGCUCACCAAGGCGACGACGGGUAGCCGGCCUGAGAGGGUGACCGGCCACACUGGGACUGAGACACGGCGCAGACUCCUACGGGAGGCAGCAGUGGGGAAUAUUGCACAAUGGGCGCAAGCCUGAUGCAGCAACGCCGCGUGAGGGAUGACGGCCUUCGGGUUGUAAACCUCUUUUAGUAGGGAAGAAGCGAAAGUGACGGUACCUGCAGAAAAAGCACCGGCUAACUACGUG